GCUGGACAUGGUGGUGAAUGCCUGUAAUCCCAGCAACUCAGGAGGCUGAGGCAGGAGGAUCGUGAGUUCAAAGCCAGUCUCGACAAUGGUGAGGCGCUAAGCAACUCAGUGAGAUCCUGUCUCUA
RNAcentral lists this small RNA (125 nucleotides) under Marmota monax (woodchuck). The record is from RNAcentral. Lineage: Eukaryota; Metazoa; Chordata; Mammalia; Rodentia; Sciuridae.